UAAUACAUGCAUGUCGAGCGGGAGUAGCAAUACUCUAGCGGCAAAUGGGUGAGUAACACGUGCUUAAUCUACCUUUUAGAUUGGAAUACCCAAUGGAAACAUUGGUUAAUGCCGGAUAAGUAUGAAAUCGCAUGAUUUCGUUAUGAAAGAAGCGUUUGCUUCACUAAGAGAUGAGGGUGCGGAACAUUAGCUAGUUGGUGAGGUAAUGGCCCACCAAGGCUAUGAUGUUUAGCCGGGUCGAGAGACUGAACGGCCACAUUGGGACUGAGAUACGGCCCAAACUCCUACGGGAGGCAGCAGUAGGGAAUAUUCCACAAUGAGCGAAAGCUUGAUGGAGCGACACAGCGUGCACGAUGAAGGCCCUCGGGUUGUAAAGUGCUGUUGCAAGGGAAGAAAAAGCAGUUGAGGAAAUGCAACUGAACUGACGGUACCUUGUUAGAAAGCGAUGGCUAACUAUGUGCCAGCAGCCGCGGUAAUACAUAGGUCGCAAGCGUUAUCCGGAAUUAUUGGGCGUAAAGCGUUCGUAGGCUGUUUAUUAAGUCUGGAGUCAAAUCCCAGGGCUCAACCCUGGCUCGCUUUGGAUACUGGUAAACUAGAGUUGGAUAGAGGUAAGCGGAAUUCCAUGUGAAGCGGUGAAAUGCGUAGAUAUAUGGAAGAACACCAAAGGCGAAGGCAGCUUACUGGGUCUAUACUGACGCUGAGGGACGAAAGCGUGGGGAGCAAACAGGAUUAGAUACCCUGGUAGUCCACGCCGUAAACGAUGAUCAUUAGUCGGUGGCCAAUCACUGACGCAGCUAACGCAUUAAAUGAUCCGCCUGAGUAGUAUGCUCGCAAGAGUAAAACUUAAAGGAAUUGACGGGGACCCGCACAAGCGGUGGAGCAUGUGGUUUAAUUUGAGGCUACGCGGAGAACCUUACCCACUCUUGACAUCCUUCGCAAAGCUAUAGAGAUAUAGUGGAGGUUAACGGAGUGACAGAUGGUGCAUGGUUGUCGUCAGCUCGUGUCGUGAGAUGUUUGGUCAAGUCCUGCAACGAGCGCAACCCCUAUCUUUAGUUACUAACGAGUCAUGUCGAGGACUCUAGAGAUACUGCCUGGGUAACUGGGAGGAAGGUGGGGAUGACGUCAAAUCAUCAUGCCUCUUACGAGUGGGGCUACACACGUGCUACAAUGGUCGGUACAAAGAGAAGCAAUAUGGUGACAUGGAGCAAAUCUCAAAAAGCCGAUCUCAGUUCGGAUUGGAGUCUGCAA
RNAcentral lists this ribosomal RNA (1248 nucleotides) under Metamycoplasma hyosynoviae. Its description in RNAcentral is "bacterial SSU rRNA". It matches the Rfam family "Bacterial small subunit ribosomal RNA", at positions 49 to 1310 of the family's 1533-position model. Lineage: Bacteria; Bacillati; Mycoplasmatota; Mycoplasmoidales; Metamycoplasmataceae. The record is from RNAcentral.